This 253-nucleotide ribosomal RNA is filed under the name Anaerobutyricum hallii. Its description in RNAcentral is "partial 16S ribosomal RNA". It matches the Rfam family "Bacterial small subunit ribosomal RNA", at positions 524 to 776 of the family's 1533-position model. Lineage: Bacteria; Bacillati; Bacillota; Clostridia; Lachnospirales; Lachnospiraceae. The record is from RNAcentral.
UACGUAUGGAGCAAGCGUUAUCCGGAUUUACUGGGUGUAAAGGGUGCGUAGGUGGCAGUGCAAGUCAGAUGUGAAAGGCCGGGGCUCAACCCCGGAGCUGCAUUUGAAACUGCUCGGCUAGAGUACAGGAGGGGCAGGCGGAAUUCCUAGUGUAGCGGUGAAAUGCGUAGAUAUUAGGAGGAACACCAGUGGCGAAGGCGGCCUGCUGGACUGUUACUGACACUGAGGCACGAAAGCGUGGGGAGCAAACAGG